UGGGAGCCUGGUGGGAGCCAGAGGUGCUAGUGGAGGGAGGGAGUGGUGGCCUAGAACGGAUCCAGGGAACUGUACAUGGCAGAGCAGGGUGCCUUGAGAAAGGACCUUCCCGUCAGGGGACACACAGGCAGUUGGACACAGGAUGAUUUUAACGUUAACCACCAUUAAACAAACAAGAACUCCAUUAGGGUGGAUGGAGAGGAAGAGACUAAGGAUUCACACAUCACGAAGACAUUUGUGGAAGACGGAGUGUGUUUCCAUUAUCCUUUCAGAGUUUGCAAACGAGGCGGUGCCCAGCAUAGACAGGUUCUCUGCCCACCCAUCCUGAAUCCACAAGGCCACAGAUGCAGAAAGGAUAUUUAAUAAAGUUCAACACUGAGUCCUGACAAACACUGCAAGAAAGCUCAAACGGAAAGGAAGUUCCUUACUGUGAUUGAGAAUAUAUCAUACUUCUGGUAUGCUACUGAAAGCUUCUGAGGUUGGGGAUAAGACAAGGGCUCUGUCUGUCACCAUUUCUCUUGAACCUUACAAUGGAAUUUGGCACUAUGGGAGUUGCAAAUCAACACAGUGGCCACUCAAGGAGAAGCAAGGGGUGGCUGGAAGGAGAGGUGCCCCUGGAGUUCUGUAAAAUCUGCUUCUUGAUGUGCCUUUGAGUGUUCUCUUUGUGUAAAUUCUUUGAACUGCACUCUUAUGAUUUGUGCAUAUUUCCCUAUGAAAAUUAUACCUCAAUAAAAUAUUGACUUAAAUAACA
RNAcentral lists this long non-coding RNA (751 nucleotides) under Homo sapiens (human). Its description in RNAcentral is "HSALNT0162065". Lineage: Eukaryota; Metazoa; Chordata; Mammalia; Primates; Hominidae. The record is from RNAcentral.